This 765-nucleotide ribosomal RNA is filed under the name Triticum aestivum (bread wheat). RNAcentral's name for it is "partial small subunit ribosomal RNA". Lineage: Eukaryota; Viridiplantae; Streptophyta; Magnoliopsida; Poales; Poaceae. The record is from RNAcentral.
AUGCAGGCUCUGAUGGAUGUUCGGUGCAAGAAUCUAGUGAACCCUGUAUGCGACUGGCUCGGUGAGAUUUACGAGCCCGCCUUCAGGGAAUUUGUGAUUCCGGGACGUGGAAGACUGCCGUUAGACGAGGAAUCCGUGUUCUGCAUGUUGGGUGUGCCCCGUGGAGAAAUCAAAGUCCCGUAUGAGGUAAAUAAUACGACUGAGGAAACGUUGUUUGCCCGUUUGUUUCCUAGGAUGACAUCCAUGCCGAACACGACCGUGCUGGCAAAUUCGCUGGAGGGCAUGAAAACCCAUGGAGAAGUUUUUAAGAUGAAGCUACUCAUGUACCUGAUCUCAGCUGUUUUUGCGCCGACCACAUCUCUUCGCCCAAGCAACAAAUGCUUCCCCAUCCUGGCAAAACUAAAAGAAGUGAAGAACAUGAAUUGGUGUAAGUUCAUUGCGGACUUCCUGCAUGAUGCAUUCUCAAACAAGAUGUACCAGAAGGGUUGUCGACUCCAUUUAAUGCUCAUGUACGCCGAUCGUCUUGAUCUGUCCACCGUGGACUUUACUGGGAUAGGAGGCCCGCCGCCUCCACACAAGUUUGUUGUUUCUGCAUGGACUUACGAUGCUGUCAAGGCUGUGCUUGCCGCGGACAAGAUAACUGAUACAAAAUACGGGAAACUGCAGCUGAUGGCCAAGCAUGCUAUAGACUACAGCGUGUUUGGUCGGCCUCAAAACUUUGGAAAAGUGGAUGGACGUGCACUCAGCUCCGUCUUGUCCUGUUGA